This is a long non-coding RNA of Scylla paramamosain (green mud crab), 1909 nucleotides long. RefSeq lists it as uncharacterized. Lineage: Eukaryota; Metazoa; Arthropoda; Malacostraca; Decapoda; Portunidae. The transcript is spliced from 8 exons. The record is from RefSeq and is a predicted model, not a curated record.
UGGAAAGCAUGGCAUCUGAGCUGCGUCACUGUGAGUUUGUUUGUGUUGUUUACGUAAUGAAACUGUGAAAAUACUAUACUCUUCAUCAGAAUCGACUCAUUUCAAGUAUAUGUAGUCCACCACCACCAUCACCAACUAUCAUCUGGACCUAUGAAUCUGAAUAAGUGGCCGCAUCGGUGAGUGCCAUAUCAGCCCUGCGACUGGUCUUUUGUGAUGAAGAGAUCCACCUGUUAGCAGUGACGUCAUCGAGAAGCGGUGUGUGCCGACCCUCCCUCACGCUGCCUGUCACCGCCUCACUUCAGGAUCACCGCUGUCUGGAGAGUACACCAGAACUUCGGACAGGGACGAGACUCGCUCACCGCAUGGAAGAGACGAGGCACAUCACUGUAAGCGGAGGCACAUUAGAACACAAGAAAUACCAACUUUGUGCAUUCCUGUCUCAUGGGGCGUCAUUGCUUCUGCUUAACCACGAGAGCUACAACCAGGCAUUCAAGAGUCGCCCGGGGACACUAGUGUGGCAAUCUUAACAUCAGUUUCAGGAGAAUUCAGUGGGAAACGAAGCUUAAUCGAAAACUGAAGUCAAAUUACAAUACUUCCAUCCUACAGCAGUUUAUUGUUGUUUUCAUGUAUGCAGUGUGUGUGGGUCCCCGUGGGGUGUGGCCAGACAGCCCCGCCCAGACAGCCAGCUCGCCUCGCUUUCCUCUUAUUGCCAACGCAGAAAACGAUUCCCAACACACUGUCUCUGCAUUUACUCUGCUCAGCAAAAAAGGAAGUCGGUCAUUACCUUGGUACACAAAAACUACUGCUUGGAAUGGUUUCGACAGAAUAUAUUUGGUGAAAAGGGAACUCGUGCAGCAUGCAAGAAUAGAUUUUCCCUCACUGCGGCAACAGCGUCGUUAACAGCAUCUGGCGUGAUGCUGGAGGCGCCACCAGCAGCCUCGCUCCGCCUCCACUAACGGUGCUGGUAACCUCAUAACUAGAAAGGCGACAACGACCCUGCUUAGGCCUCCUGCCUCGGCAUAUCUCACUUAUCCGAGCAUUAACAGGAAGGGCGGAGUCAUUUUAAUCUCCUCACUGAUGUCGUUUAUGAGUCAAAAUUGCCGUGGUAAUGACAGAGGGACGCGCUGAGAUGGUCUUCCCUUGCUGUGCCUGAGAAGCCAAGACGGUGGGAAUCAGAACGUCUUCCGCGGGUGUUAAGGCCGGGAGGUACUGAGCUUAGCCUUGCGGCGCCACACAUGGUACCAGGGACUUCCAACACAUAAGUGAAUCCAUGCGAGGAAUAGAGAUGCAUAUCAUUAAUAGUUUAUAAAGAAUGUGCCUGGGAAAGAAAGACUGGGGAAGACUGAAAUGAGAAACUAGAAGAGGUUGGUAACAAUAGGUGAAGCUUAGUUUGCAUGCAGAUUUCAGGCCAUUUAUAGUCGUCCGGCGAGGAUGUCACAUGACGACUGGUUUGUUUGAAGUCUUUUUGUCUUCUGUAACUUCCUUCUCUUCACCUAGAUGACGAUUUUUGCUUCACUUUGUUUUGCUUUGUGUGUGUGUGUGUGUGUGUGUGUGUGUGUGUGUGUGUGUGUGUGUGUGUGUGUGUGUGUGUGUGUGUGUGUGUGUGUGUGUGUGUGUGUGUGUGUGUUUGUGGGGUGUGUGUGUAUUGAAGAGGUGCAGCAGGCCAUGGAGCAUCCCCUCCUUAACGGCCCUGAAGCAAGCAGAGGGAAGCAACGGGUGUUUGGGGAAAAGCUAAUGUACUAAGUGCAUGCUUGUAUGUAACGGUGUGUGUGUGUGUGUGUGUGUGUGUGUGUGUGUGUGUGUGUGUGUGUGUGUGUGUGUGUGUGUGUGUGUGUGUGUGUGUGUGUGUGUGUGUGUGUGUGCUGGAGUCUCCAAAAACGAGCGCACAAAUGUGUAUAUUCGAAGAUAC